GACGAACGCUGGCGGCGUGCCUAACACAUGCAAGUCGAACGAGGUCCAAGGGAGCUUGCUCCCUGAAGACCUAGUGGCGAACGGGUGAGUAACACGUGAGAAACCUGCCCUCGAGUGGGGGAAUAACCCGAGGAAACUCGGGCUAAUACCGCAUACGCUCCUCUGGUCGCAUGGCCGGGGGAGGAAAGUAUUUCGCUCGUGGAGGGUCUCGCGGCCUAUCAGCUUGUUGGCGGGGUAACGGCCCACCAAGGCUACGACGGGUAGCUGGUUUGAGAGAACGAUCAGCCACACUGGGACUGAGACACGGCCCAGACUCCUACGGGAGGCUG
Molecule: ribosomal RNA, 329 nt
Filed under: uncultured Actinomycetes bacterium
Lineage: Bacteria; Bacillati; Actinomycetota; Actinomycetes
Description: bacterial SSU rRNA
Rfam family: Bacterial small subunit ribosomal RNA
Source: RNAcentral